AUUGAACGCUGGCGGCAUGCCUUACACAUGCAAGUCGAACGGCAGCACGGGUGCUUGCACCUGGUGGCGAGUGGCGAACGGGUGAGUAAUAUAUCGGAACGUGCCCAGAGGUGGGGGAUAGCCCGGCGAAAGCCGGAUUAAUACCGCAUACGACCUACGGGUGAAAGCGGGGGAUCGCAAGACCUCGCGCCAUUGGAGCGGCCGAUAUCAGAUUAGGUAGUUGGUGGGGUAAAGGCCUACCAAGCCAACGAUCUGUAGCUGGUCUGAGAGGACGACCAGCCACACUGGGACUGAGACACGGCCCAGACUCCUACGGGUGGCAG
This 323-nucleotide ribosomal RNA is filed under the name uncultured Pseudomonadota bacterium. RNAcentral's name for it is "bacterial SSU rRNA". It matches the Rfam family "Bacterial small subunit ribosomal RNA", at positions 30 to 351 of the family's 1533-position model. Lineage: Bacteria; Pseudomonadati; Pseudomonadota. The record is from RNAcentral.